Long non-coding RNA from Phlebotomus argentipes, 456 nucleotides. RefSeq lists it as uncharacterized. NCBI's taxonomy places the organism in Eukaryota, Metazoa, Arthropoda, Insecta, Diptera, Psychodidae. The transcript has 3 exons. The record is from RefSeq and is a predicted model, not a curated record.
AACGUCACAGGCAUAGGACUUUCAGUGUUAUUUUGUUCGCAUUUCCUUGCAAAAAAUAGCGCCAAAUACCUCAAAUAUCACUCCAAAAUGUGCACUAACAAGGAGUACAAUGAGAGCUACUUCUACGAGUACAACAUUCCUCAGCAAAGGAUCUAUUCGCCGAGAAGAGCAGCAUUAUCCUGAAAUGAUGGAUCUCAUCGCAUACGACUUUCCGGGAAGCCGACAAACUGCCAAACUUCUACCGGCGCCACGACAAGGCGGCGGAGCGGAUUGCCGGCGCAGGGGGCGAUUGAGGAGGUGCUGCAGCACAAGCUGACAGGCUGCAGGAAGUCGCACGAGGGCAAAAUCAGACACAAAGCCGGGCGUGCAGCAACUCACGGCCGGGAAGGCGUCGGCCGCCGUGAAUUGCCUCACGGACACGUCGAAGUGAUCUGUAGCUUCGGCUCGCGAUACUCC